GGUUGCCGAUUGAUUCCGUGCUCCCUCUAGCUUUGUUUGGUUGUUGUUCAAAGACCGCUAAGCAUUCUCAGAUAACAAGACAGGUGUAAUAUGUUGAAAGCAUGGUGGAUACGCCGCUGGUAAUGUUGAUUGAUAGGAUGCACUCACAUAGGACUGGACAAGGCCUUAGUGACUUAAUAACAAUGAUAGACUAUGUUUAACUUGUUUG
RNAcentral lists this long non-coding RNA (208 nucleotides) under Helianthus annuus (common sunflower). RNAcentral describes it as "sRNA HanXRQr2_Chr17g0825441". The record is from RNAcentral. Lineage: Eukaryota; Viridiplantae; Streptophyta; Magnoliopsida; Asterales; Asteraceae.